CCUACGGGUGGCAGCAGUGGGGAAUAUUCGGCAAUGGAGGAAACUCUGACCCAGCAACGCCGCGUGAAUGAUGAAGGUCUUCGGAUUGUAAACUUCUUUUCUCAGGGACGAAGAAAGUGACGGUACCUGAGUAAUAAGCCACGGCUAACUACGUGCCAGCAGCCGCGGUAAUACGUAGGUGGCAAGCGUUAUCCGGAUUUAUUGGGUGUAAAGGGCGUGUAGGCGGGAGCGCAAGUCAGAUGUGAAAUCUCAGGGCUCAACCCUGAGCCUGCAUUUGAAACUGUGUUUCUUGAGUGCUGGAGAGGCAAUCGGAAUUCCGGGUGUAGCGGUGAAAUGCGUAGAUAAACGGAGGAACACCAGUGGCGAAGGCGGAUUGCUGGACAGUAACUGACGCUGAGGAGCGAAAGCGUGGGGAGCAAACAGGAUUAGAUACCCCUGUAGU
This 442-nucleotide ribosomal RNA is filed under the name uncultured bacterium. Its description in RNAcentral is "partial 16S ribosomal RNA". It matches the Rfam family "Bacterial small subunit ribosomal RNA", at positions 338 to 794 of the family's 1533-position model. The record is from RNAcentral.